This 468-nucleotide ribosomal RNA is filed under the name uncultured bacterium. RNAcentral describes it as "partial 16S ribosomal RNA". It matches the Rfam family "Bacterial small subunit ribosomal RNA", at positions 28 to 507 of the family's 1533-position model. The record is from RNAcentral.
GAUGAACGCUGGCGGCGUGCUUAACACAUGCAAGUCGAACGGAAAGGCCCUGCUCUUGUGGGGUGCUCGAGUGGCGAACGGGUGAGUAUCACGUGAGUAACCUGCCCUUGUCUUUGGGAUAUCUUCAGGAAACUGGGGCUAAUACCGGAUAGGAGCUCCUGCUGCAUGGUGGGGGUUGGAAAGUUUCGGCGGUUGGGGAUGGACUCGCGGCUUAUCAGCUUGUUGGUGGGGUAGUGGCUUACCAAGGCUUUGACGGGUAGCCGGCCUGGGAGGGUGACCGGCCACAUUGGGACUGAGAUACGGCGCAGAAUCCUACGGGAGGCAGCAGUGGGGAAUAUUGCACAAUGAGCGGAAGCCUGAUGCAGCAGCGCCGCGUGCGUGAUGACGUCCUUCGAGGUGUAAACCGCUUUGGCCUGUGACGAAGCGUGAGUGACGGUAAUGGGUAAAGAAGCACCGGCUAACUACGUG